CAGCAGCCGCGGUAAUACGUAGGGUGCGAGCGUUAAUCGGAAUUACUGGGCGUAAAGCGUGCGCAGGCGGUUGUGUAAGACAGGUGUGAAAUCCCCGGGCUUAUCCUGGGAACUGCGCUUGUGACUGCACAGCUAGAGUAUGGCAGAGGGGGGUGGAAUUCCACGUGUAGCAGUGAAAUGCGUAGAGAUGUGGAGGAACACCGAUGGCGAAGGCAGCCCCCUGGGCCAAUACUGACGCUCAUGCACGGAAGCGUGGGGAGCAAACAGGAUUAGAUACCCCCGUAGUCCCUGUCUCUUAUAC
Molecule: ribosomal RNA, 301 nt
Filed under: uncultured bacterium
Lineage: Bacteria
Description: partial 16S ribosomal RNA
Rfam family: Bacterial small subunit ribosomal RNA
Source: RNAcentral